Molecule: long non-coding RNA, 1091 nt
Organism: Ornithodoros turicata
Lineage: Eukaryota; Metazoa; Arthropoda; Arachnida; Ixodida; Argasidae
Exons: 3
Source: RefSeq, a predicted model, not a curated record
GCUGUGCGCGACGCGGGAUGCCACCGUCAACCGCAACCGGGGGAGGAGGGGGAAUAGUGUUGCGGUGGAUAAAGAGGAGGCUAUUGGGCCGGGCAUGGACACGUGCGCUGGUGCAAGGAGAAUUGUGUCUGACGGGUUUGGCCAGAACGGACUUCGAACCCUCCCUGCGAGCUUGUAACAAUAUGAUGUGACGGACGCACACAGACAUUCGAGGUUUCACACAGGGACGUUGCACGGACGCCGGCUGUGAUCGUGAUGCAUUUAUUUGGAGAAAUGGAUGAAAAUGGACAUGCACUGGAAGUAGCAAGCUGUUAUUGUCACCAUGCACGAGCCAAGCAUGCAGCACUGAGUGAAACAGGUAACCAAUAGCGCAGCUCCACUGGUUCCAAAUUUGAUGGACACAGCCAUGAGUUACCUGGCAGUAUUGUGGCAGAGGGUAUCUUGUGCCACAGAAGUACAUACGAACAGUCCAGCAGAAAUACAGCAGCAGCCCAAUCCCAGUCUAUACCUCUGCAGAGGCUCAGAGAGAUAGCAGCAAACCAGGUCCUUCCCACAACUCUCCGCAAGCUCGGGAUUCGUCGCAAACCCAGCCAGACAGCCAUGUACGAACCUAUAUUUGCCAACAUUGUAGAUUGUCGACUAGGUAUUUCCAGUGCUUUUGUGACCACGUUGUUCAGUGUGUUGGGUGUGGCUUUCUCCCUUCUUGUGAUACUUGUGGAACAACGUUUGAAACCAUCUAAAGAUACAUACAUCAUUUGAAUUUUUGUAUUUAGUUAAGCACACGAGUACAGGAUGACAUAACAUGACAGGAUGAGCCAGCCAACACAAUGUAUAGGUGAGCUACUUGAGCAGAUGGAAAGAAGCAGAUCAAAGUUCGAAGAAUAAUCUAAAAAAAAAGGCUAUUUAUGCCAUAACCCAGAGGGCCACCACAUGUGCUCCGAGGUGGUUGUCGAUUGCGUUGUAAGCAGCAUAGAGGAAUUGUUUCAGGAAAUGGGUGUGCAGAUUGACACCACUUUGGUAAAAUCAGAUCAGGUUCGGAAGUUGCAUUAUGAGGAACCCCUGAUUUUUUGUAACGUGCCUUAAGUGCAAAA